RNAcentral lists this unclassified non-coding RNA (500 nucleotides) under uncultured Glomus. Its description in RNAcentral is "SSU rRNA". It matches the Rfam family "Eukaryotic small subunit ribosomal RNA", at positions 591 to 1092 of the family's 1831-position model. The record is from RNAcentral. Lineage: Eukaryota; Fungi; Glomeromycota; Glomeromycetes; Glomerales; Glomeraceae.
CCAAUAGCGUAUAUUAAAGUUGUUGCAGUUAAAAAGCUCGUAGUUGAAUUUCGGGAUCAGUAGGUCGGUCGUGCCACUGGUAUGAACUGGUCUCACUGGUUCCUCCCUCUUGACGAACUGCAAUGCUAUUAAUUUAGUGUUGCAGGAAAUCAGGACUGUUACUUUGAAAAAAUUAGAGUGUUUAAAGCAGGCUUUGGCUUGAAUACAUUAGCAUGGAAUAAUGAAAUAGGACGUUCGAUCCUAUUUUGUUGGCUUCUAGGAUUGACGUAAUGAUUAAUAGGGACAGUUGGGGGCAUUAGUAUUCAAUUGUCAGAGGUGAAAUUCUUGGAUUUAUUGAAGACUAACUACUGCGAAAGCAUUUGCCAAGGAUGUUUUCAUUAAUCAAGAACGAAAGUUAGGGGAUCGAAGACGAUCAGAUACCGUCGUAGUCUUAACCAUAAACUAUGCCGACUAGGGAUCGGAUGAUGUUAAUUUUUUAAUGACUCAUUCGGCGCCUUACG